CUACGGGGUGCUCCAGUGGGGAAUAUUGCACAAUGGAGGAAACUCUGAUGCAGCAACGCCGCGUGGAGGAUGACACUUUUCGGAGCGUAAACUCCUUUUAUAUGUCAAGAAAAUGACGGUAGCAUAUGAAUAAGCGCCGGCUAACUCCGUGCCAGCAGCCGCGGUAAUACGGAGGGCGCAAGCGUUACUCGGAAUCACUGGGCGUAAAGAGCGUGUAGGCGGAUUAAAAAGUCAGAAGUGAAAUCCUAUAGCUUAACUAUAGAACUGCUUCUGAAACUCUUAAUCUAGAAUAUGGGAGAGGUAGAUGGAAUUUCUGGUGUAGGGGUAAAAUCCGUAGAGAUCAGAAGGAAUACCGAUUGCGAAGGCGAUCUACUAGAACAUUAUUGACGCUGAGACGCGAAAGCGUGGGGAGCAAACAGGAUUAGAUACCCCUGUAGUC
Molecule: ribosomal RNA, 439 nt
Filed under: uncultured bacterium
Lineage: Bacteria
Description: partial 16S ribosomal RNA
Rfam family: Bacterial small subunit ribosomal RNA
Source: RNAcentral